GACGAACGCUGGCGGCGUGCCUAACACAUGCAAGUCAACUUGACUGAAGGAGCAAUCUGACAGUAGAGUGGCGCAAGGGUGCGUAACGCGUAAGUAACUUGCCCAAGGUAAGGAAUAACGUCGAGAAAUCGGCGCUAAUACCUCAUAAUGCAGCGGAUCCGCAUGGAUAUGUUGUUAAAGGUUUACCGCCUUGGGAUAGGCUUGCGUCUGAUUAGUUAGUUGGUGUGGUAACGGCACACCAAGGCUACGAUCAGUAACUGGUCUGAGAGGAUGAUCAGUCACACUGGAACUGAGACACGGUCCAGACUCCUACGGGAGGCAGCAGUGAGGAAUAUUGGGCAAUGCUCGAAAGAGUGACCCAAGCAAACGCCGCGUGGAGGAUGAAGGUAUUCUAUAUCGUAAACUCCUGUGAGAGCAGACGAAAGACAGAUUAUUAAUCUGGAUGACUGUAUGCUCAGA
Molecule: ribosomal RNA, 459 nt
Filed under: uncultured bacterium
Lineage: Bacteria
Description: bacterial SSU rRNA
Rfam family: Bacterial small subunit ribosomal RNA
Source: RNAcentral